GACGAACGCUGGCGGCGUGCUUAACACAUGCAAGUCGAACGGAAAGGCCCUGCUUUUGUGGGGUGCUCGAGUGGCGAACGGGUGAGUAACACGUGAGUAACCUGCCCUUGACUUUGGGAUAACUUCAGGAAACUGGGGCUAAUACCGGAUAGGAGCUCCUGCUGCAUGGUGGGGGUUGGAAAGUUUCGGCGGUUGGGGAUGGACUCGCGGCUUAUCAGCUUGUUGGUGGGGUAGUGGCUUACCAAGGCUUUGACGGGUAGCCGGCCUGAGAGGGUGACCGGCCACAUUGGGACUGAGAUACGGCCCAGACUCCUACGGGAGGCAGCAGUGGGGAAUAUUGCACAAUGGGCGGAAGCCUGAUGCAGCAACGUCGCGUGCGGGAUGACGGCCUUCGGGUUGUAAACCGCUUUCGCAUGUGACGAAGCGUGAGUGACGGUAAUGGGUAAAGAAGCACCGGCUAACUACGUG
RNAcentral lists this ribosomal RNA (468 nucleotides) under uncultured bacterium. RNAcentral's name for it is "partial 16S ribosomal RNA". It matches the Rfam family "Bacterial small subunit ribosomal RNA", at positions 28 to 507 of the family's 1533-position model. The record is from RNAcentral.